Molecule: long non-coding RNA, 1206 nt
Filed under: Chinchilla lanigera (long-tailed chinchilla)
Lineage: Eukaryota; Metazoa; Chordata; Mammalia; Rodentia; Chinchillidae
Description: lncRNA (ENSCLAG00000023864.1)
Source: RNAcentral
CUCGAGUUGAAUCCCCAAAGCCCGUGGUCAAGCUGGUAUAUGCGCAUAGCAGCUGUGAAGGCAGAAGGUUGCCAAGAACUCAAGUGAGUGAGAGGGCAAGGAAAUAGAGGCUGAGUGGUGAAAAGGCUGAGUCCUUGCUUCCUAGUCCUCAUUAUGGCCCACCUGGUUCCCUGCCUGCAAACCCUGGUCCCAGUGCCUUGGGCACAGACCCUUGGCCCUCAAGCCUUUAUUGCCUCUGCCAUAUCAUGUCCCCCAUCCACCUGCAAUGCAGAGGCAUGGAGAAAAAAGCAGAGCAGUGCAGCUCCCUCCAAUCUCACUCUACGUUUCUCCUUCUCUCCUUUAUUUCUAGAGGCAGAAGGUCUUCAAACAACCACUCUCAGUGCUGCACCAGAAUCCCAAUAGACACAGCAAGUUCUCUGUGGAGCUUCAGAAGCACAAGGUCAGCAGGCAACUGCUAUCAGAGCUGGACCAGACUUCCAAACUACACUUCAAGUCCUCUGUGGAGCUACUGUACUACAGAGGAAUGCAAAGGGAAGAAGUGGAUCAACCUGUGGAGUGAUUUGAUCUCCAGUUCAGACAUUGUGUGCAUUCAGCGCAGAAAGCCAGACUUCGAGGAGCCUGCCUGCAGGACCCCAGGAGCUGUGCUGAAGAUGACUCUGGGAGGUGUUCAGAAGAUGACAUCAGGAAAUGUGCUGAAGACUGCAAAGAGCAGUCAACUGAACAGUCUGUUGAGCAGUGAGCAGAGCAGGGAGACAAGUGGUCAGGUCAAACGUAAAGAGACCAAAUCUAGGCAAUUAAGCAGUGUGAACAUGCUAAAGAGGGAGUCUUCAUUUCUGUACGUUCCUUCAGUGAAGGGAGGGAAGACAGGCAAGAGCAAAGAGGAGAGAAGGGAGAGAAGAAGAAAGGGAGUCCAAGGAGAGGGAGGAGACAGGCAGAAAUUGGAGGUGUCGAGGCAAGGAGGUGUGUAUAUGGUGAGAAAGAGCAAGAGGAAUCGAGGAGCGGGAGUGUAGGGGAUGGGGAAGAGAGCGGAGUGAAGUGUAGGAGAGAGGAGGGAAUGCGCGGACAGAGUGCAGUUUGAGAGGUGCAACACAGGUGGAGAUAGGAGGAGAAGAAAGGAGAGGCAAGGGAAAGAGGGAGGAGGAGUCAGAGGAGCAGGUGAUGGUGAGAGAAGGAUGGAGGGGCAUUAGAGGGUGAGUGGAAGUGAAU